Molecule: non-coding RNA, 72 nt
Organism: Caligus rogercresseyi
Lineage: Eukaryota; Metazoa; Arthropoda; Copepoda; Siphonostomatoida; Caligidae
Source: the annotation of a GenBank genome assembly
GCGCCGUUGAUGUAGUGGUAUCAUGUAAGAUUCCCCAUUCUUACGUCCCGGGUUCAAUUCCCGGACGGCGCA